This 466-nucleotide ribosomal RNA is filed under the name uncultured bacterium. Its description in RNAcentral is "bacterial SSU rRNA". It matches the Rfam family "Bacterial small subunit ribosomal RNA", at positions 329 to 792 of the family's 1533-position model. The record is from RNAcentral.
GUCCAGACUCCUACGGGAGGCAGCAGUGAGGAAUAUUGGUCAAUGGGCGGGAGCCUGAACCAGCCAAGUCGCGUGAGGGAAGACGGUCCUACGGAUUGUAAACCUCUUUUGCCGGGGAGCAACGGGGUCCUUGCGAGGGCCCAAUGAGAGUACCCGGAGAAAAAGCAUCGGCUAACUCCGUGCCAGCAGCCGCGGUAAUACGUAGGGGGCAAGCGUUAUCCGGAAUUAUUGGGCGUAAAGAGUACGUAGGUGGCAACCUAAGCGCAGGGUUUAAGGCAAUGGCUCAACCAUUGUUCGCCCUGCGAACUGGGAUGCUUGAGUGCAGGAGAGGAAAGCGGAAUUCCUAGUGUAGCGGUGAAAUGCGUAGAUAUUAGGAGGAACACCAGUGGCGAAGGCGGCUUUCUGGACUGUAACUGACACUGAGGUACGAAAGCGUGGGGAGCAAACAGGAUUAGAUACCCGUGUA